UACGGGGGGGGCAAGCGUUGUUCGGAUUUACUGGGCGUAAAGGGCGCGUAGGCGGCGCAACAAGUCACUUGUGAAAUCUCCGGGCUUAACUCGGAAAGGUCAAGUGAUACUGUUGUGCUAGAGUGCGGAAGGGGCAACUGGAAUUCUCGGUGUAGCGGUGAAAUGCGUAGAUAUCGAGAGGAACACCUGCGGCGAAGGCGGGUUGCUGGGCCGACACUGACGCUGAUGCGCGAAAGCCAGGGGAGCGAACGGG
This 253-nucleotide ribosomal RNA is filed under the name uncultured bacterium. RNAcentral describes it as "partial 16S ribosomal RNA". It matches the Rfam family "Bacterial small subunit ribosomal RNA", at positions 524 to 776 of the family's 1533-position model. The record is from RNAcentral.